CACGCUCGGCCGAACUUUUCGCAACACGGUCUUCAGUAUUGGGCCUCGCCUUGGCCCUCAAGAACUCGUCAAGCUUCGGCCUGUUUUCGUGGAUCCAUCGUUGUCUGAGAUAUUGGGCCUUACCUUCUAACGGGUUAGCCCGGCCCUUUCCAACAAGGGGUUCUGAAAUCUUCAAUCGAGCGUAGAAGAAUUUGAAGCAGGAAUGAUCAGCGCGGUACUGAAGCUUGCCAGAGUCCAGACUACCAAAUACCGGAGCCAGGAGAAAACCGUUGUGAUCCAUUUUUGCUCGUUCACCAUUACCGUUGCUGUCGCCGGCGCUGAGAUUAGUCCAUGAUGGGACCACCGAGAAACCCGUUGCCCUUCAGAUGACCUACUAUUCUGUCUCUCACGAGAGGUUUAAAUAUUUUGAGCUUCAACUAGUUUUUCUGGCUUUCUUUCAAAUUUUGAUAUUUUAUUUUUCGAUCGGCGCAUGUAGACGAGUCGUAUGAUAUUGAAGCAGUGUCUCUCCACUUGGUGCGGUGACGUUCUAGACACUGACAGCCAAGGGAAUGGUUCUGCUUUCGCCCAUGGUUACCUUGUUAAUUAGCUGAAAGGUUUUUCUUUGUAUUCAAUUUCUAUGAUUCUCUGUUUUAAAUCUUAUCUAAAUUUUCUAUUUUAGUAUACCGAGAAACUAAUGUUAGUCUUCAUUAUCAUCAUAUCCAGUAGAAAUUUUUAUCA
Molecule: long non-coding RNA, 717 nt
Organism: Tripterygium wilfordii
Lineage: Eukaryota; Viridiplantae; Streptophyta; Magnoliopsida; Celastrales; Celastraceae
Exons: 2
Source: RefSeq, a predicted model, not a curated record